CAGCCGCCGCGGUAAAACGAGGGGGGCAAGCGUUGUUCGGAAUUAUUGGGCGUAAAGGGCGCGUAGGCGGUUUGGCAAGUUUGGUGUGAAAUCUUCGGGCUCAACUCGAAGUCUGCAUCGAAAACUGCCGGGCUUGAGUAUGGGAGAGGUGAGUGGAAUUUCCGGUGUAGCGGUGAAAUGCGUAGAUAUCGGAAGGAACACCUGUGGCGAAAGCGGCUCACUGGACCAUAACUGACGCUGAGGCGCGAAAGCUAGGGGAGCAAACAGGAUUAGAUACCCCCGUAGUCCCUGUCUCUUAUAC
This 301-nucleotide ribosomal RNA is filed under the name uncultured bacterium. Its description in RNAcentral is "partial 16S ribosomal RNA". It matches the Rfam family "Bacterial small subunit ribosomal RNA", at positions 509 to 807 of the family's 1533-position model. The record is from RNAcentral.